CAUUGCAGGCAUACAUUCCUGCAAAAAAAUUAUAUUUUAAUGGUUUUUACUGAUGAAUGUAUACCUAGAGUUGUAUUAUUAUAAAGUGGAGAUUUAAAUUAUAAUUAUACUGAUAUAUAAUGAUUAAAAUUGUUUAAUUUCAGCAGUUGAUACUGAUUAAAAUAAGACAGUAUAUCCCAUGUAGUUCUUCUAUCACGUCAAUCGUCAUUAAAGAAGGAGCGUCGGUUUGUAUGCAUCUCACUCAUUGGGCAGACAUGCAUUCCUGCAGAUUUUUAUAUUUAAAUUAUUUUAAAUGUAUUUUACUGAUUUCUUUACCUGGAAAAAUUCAGCGCUUCUUUUUAGAGCUUUAUAAUGGAUUCGAAUGCAUGGAAUUAAAUGGAACACAAGUCAAAAUGUCUGGAAUAUGAAACAUAACCUUUGAUUUCCAGGCUGAGAGAAGUGUUCUCAAUAGUUCCAAAAGAAAUGCAAUAAACAUGAAAAAAUUGCCCAAAUCCCUGGAAUAAACUAAAAAAAGACCAAAUUUCUGGAAUACAGGUCUGAAUUUUAUUAUAUAGUCAUUGUUAUCUGCAUAAUCCAGAAAGAAAUAAUGGCUUCGGCCAAUAAUGGUGGUAUUUAGUAUGAGCUUUAAAAUGCCUGGAAUAAGCUGGAAAUUUAUGUUUAUUAAAUUUAUGUUAUUUAUUACAAAUGUGGCAAAAUUGUGGUGUUGCCUGGAAAUUGUAAGAAAUUGUUAAGGACACAAUGAAGUAUCUCAAUAAUUAAGAGAACAGAGCUUCAAAGAGUAAGGAGAAACUCGAUGCCUGGAAUACAAUUGGAAUUUUGUCAAAAUAUCUGGAAUGAACUGGAAAAUGAGUCUGGAAUAUGUAAACAAUUAUUUUCAAAGUCUAAGAACUAUGCCAACAGGGAAAUUACUUUAAAUCCCAAGAAUAAACUUGGAAUAAACCAAGAAAUGUCUUCAAAGUUUAGGACAAUCAACAAAAGUUCAGUUGCUGAAAAAAUAGACAAUUCCAGGAAUAUCCCAAUAGAUGAACCAGAAGUCUCCUGAAAAAUGUUGCAGAAAAUUGUUCUAAAAUUUGCAAAUUCAAAGUAUAUUCUUGUAUUUCAAUUGUCUGGAUUUAUAUGGAACCAAAUGCCUAAAAUAAAUUGAUAUACUCUUCAAA
Long non-coding RNA from Anthonomus grandis grandis, 1157 nucleotides. RefSeq lists it as uncharacterized. Lineage: Eukaryota; Metazoa; Arthropoda; Insecta; Coleoptera; Curculionidae. The record is from RefSeq and is a predicted model, not a curated record. The transcript has 2 exons.